This 520-nucleotide ribosomal RNA is filed under the name uncultured Gigaspora. Its description in RNAcentral is "SSU rRNA". It matches the Rfam family "Eukaryotic small subunit ribosomal RNA", at positions 569 to 1094 of the family's 1831-position model. The record is from RNAcentral. Lineage: Eukaryota; Fungi; Glomeromycota; Glomeromycetes; Diversisporales; Gigasporaceae.
AGCAGCCGCGGUAAUUCCAGCUCCAAUAGCGUAUAUUAAAGUUGUUGCAGUUAAAAAGCUCGUAGUUGAAUUUCGGGGUUCUACCGUUGGUCGGGCAAUUGUCUGUACUGGCGUGUGGAAUUUCUACCUUCUGGAGAACCAUCAUGUUAUUAAUUUAGCGUGGUGGGAAACCAGAACCUUUACCUUGAAAAAAUUAGAGUGUUCAAAGCAGGCUUACGUCUGAAUACAUUAGCAUGGAAUAAUAAAAUAGGACGGUGGUCCUGUUUUGUUGGUUUCUGAAUCACCGUAAUGAUUAAUAGGGAUAGUUGGGGGCAUUAGUAUUCAAUUGUCAGAGUGAAAUUCUUGGAUUUAUUGAAGACUAACUUCUGCGAAAGCAUUUGCCAAGGAUGUUUUCAUUAAUCAAGAACGAAAGUUAGGGAUCGAAGACGAUCAGAUACCGUCGUAGUCUUAACCAUAAACUAUGCCGACUAGGGAUCGGGACGAUGUUAAUUUUUCUGUACUCGUUCGGCGUCCUUACGGG